RNAcentral lists this ribosomal RNA (632 nucleotides) under uncultured Lachnospiraceae bacterium. RNAcentral describes it as "bacterial SSU rRNA". It matches the Rfam family "Bacterial small subunit ribosomal RNA", at positions 98 to 750 of the family's 1533-position model. The record is from RNAcentral. Lineage: Bacteria; Bacillati; Bacillota; Clostridia; Lachnospirales; Lachnospiraceae.
GCGGACGGGUGAGUAACGCGUGGGUAACCUGCCUUAUACUGGGGGAUAACAGCCAGAAAUGGCUGCUAAUACCGCAUAAGCGCACAGGACCGCAUGGUCCGGUGUGAAAAACUCUGGUGGUAUAAGAUGGACCCGCGUUGGAUUAGCUAGUUGGCAGGGCAGCGGCCUACCAAGGCGACGAUCCAUAGCCGGCCUGAGAGGGUGAACGGCCACAUUGGGACUGAGACACGGCCCAGACUCCUACGGGAGGCAGCAGUGGGGAAUAUUGCACAAUGGGGGAAACCCUGAUGCAGCGACGCCGCGUGAAGGAAGAAGUAUCUCGGUAUGUAAACUUCUAUCAGCAGGGAAGAUAAUGACGGUACCUGACUAAGAAGCCCCGGCUAACUACGUGCCAGCAGCCGCGGUAAUACGUAGGGGGCAAGCGUUAUCCGGAUUUACUGGGUGUAAAGGGAGCGUAGACGGCGCAGCAAGUCUGAUGUGAAAGGCAGGGGCUUAACCCCUGGACUGCAUUGGAAACUGUUGAGCUUGAGUGCCGGAGGGGUAAGCGGAUUCCUAGUGUAGCGGUGAAAUGCGUAGAUAUCAGGAGGACACCAGUGGCGAAGGCGGCUUACUGGACGGUAACUGACGUUGAG